AGAACGAACGCUGGCGGCAUGCCUAAUACAUGCAAGUCGAACGAACUCUUCGGAGUUAGUGGCGCACGGGUGCGUAACGCGUGGGAAUCUGCCCCUUGGUUCGGAAUAACAGUUGGAAACGACUGCUAAUACCGGAUGAUGACGAAAGUCCAAAGAUUUAUCGCCAAGGGAUGAGCCCGCGUAGGAUUAGCUAGUUGGUGAGGUAAAGGCUCACCAAGGCGACGAUCCUUAGCUGGUCUGAGAGGAUGAUCAGCCACACUGGGACUGAGACACGGCCCAGACUCCUACGGGAGGCAGCAGUGGGGAAUAUUGGACAAUGGGCGCAAGCCUGAUCAGCAAUGCCGCGUGAGUGAUGAAGGCCUUAGGGUUGUAAAGCUACUUUUACCCGGGAUGAUAAUGACAGUACGGAGAAUAAGCUCGGCUAACUCCGUGCCAGCAGCCGC
Molecule: ribosomal RNA, 443 nt
Filed under: uncultured soil bacterium
Lineage: Bacteria
Description: bacterial SSU rRNA
Rfam family: Bacterial small subunit ribosomal RNA
Source: RNAcentral